This 253-nucleotide ribosomal RNA is filed under the name uncultured bacterium. RNAcentral describes it as "partial 16S ribosomal RNA". It matches the Rfam family "Bacterial small subunit ribosomal RNA", at positions 524 to 776 of the family's 1533-position model. The record is from RNAcentral.
UCCGAAGGGGGCUAGCGUUGUUCGGAAUCACUGGGCGUAAAGCGCACGCAGGCGGAUUGAUAAGUCAGGGGUGAAAUCCCGGGGCUCAACCUCGGAAUUGCCUUUGAUACUGUCUGUCUUGAGUCCGGGAGAGGUGAGUGGAAUUCCUAGUGUAGAGGUGAAAUUCGUAGAUAUUAGGAAGAACACCAGUGGCGAAGGCGGCUCACUGGCCCGGUACUGACGCUGAGGUGCGAAAGCGUGGGGAGCAAACAGG